UACGAAGGGGGCUAGCGUUGCUCGGAUUGACUGGGCGUAAAGGGCGCGUAGGCGGUUUGCAUAGUCAGACGUGAAAUUCCUGGGCUUAACCUGGGGGCUGCGUUUGAUACAUGCAGGCUUGAGUUCGGAAGAGGGUCGUAGAAUUCCCAGUGUAGAGGUGAAAUUCGUAGAUAUUGGGAAGAACACCGGUGGCGAAGGCGGCGACCUGGUCCGAUACUGACGCUGAGGCGCGAAAGCGUGGGGAGCAAACAGG
This 253-nucleotide ribosomal RNA is filed under the name uncultured bacterium. RNAcentral's name for it is "partial 16S ribosomal RNA". It matches the Rfam family "Bacterial small subunit ribosomal RNA", at positions 524 to 776 of the family's 1533-position model. The record is from RNAcentral.